This 497-nucleotide ribosomal RNA is filed under the name uncultured bacterium. Its description in RNAcentral is "partial 16S ribosomal RNA". It matches the Rfam family "Bacterial small subunit ribosomal RNA", at positions 28 to 507 of the family's 1533-position model. The record is from RNAcentral.
GAUGAACGCUGGCGGCGUGCCUAAUACAUGCAAGUCGAGCGAACAGACGAGGAGCUUGCUCCUCUGACGUUAGCGGCGGACGGGUGAGUAACACGUGGAUAACCUACCUAUAAGACUGGGAUAACUUCGGGAAACCGGAGCUAAUACCGGAUAAUAUAUUGAACCGCAUGGUUCAAUAGUGAAAGACGGUUUUGCUUUCACUUUUAGAUGGAUCCGCGCCGCAUUAGCUAGUUGGUAAGGUAACGGCUUACCAAGGCGACGAUGCGUAGCCGACCUGAGAGGAUGAUCGGCCACACUGGAACUGAGACACGGUCCAGACUCCUACGGGAGGCAGCAGUAGGGAAUCUUCCGCAAAGGGCGAAAGCCUGACGGAGCAACGCCGCGUGAGUGAUGAAGGUCUUCGGAUCGUAAAACUCUGUUAUUAGGGAAGAACAAAUGUGUAAGUAACUAUGCACGUCUUGACGGUACCUAAUCAGAAAGCCACGGCUAACUACGUG